Trichonephila inaurata madagascariensis is the source of this 73-nucleotide non-coding RNA. The record is from the annotation of a GenBank genome assembly. NCBI's taxonomy places the organism in Eukaryota, Metazoa, Arthropoda, Arachnida, Araneae, Nephilidae.
GUCCCUGUAGCGCAAGAGAUAGCGUGUUGGAGUUCUCAUCCAAAAGCCGUGGGUUCGAAUCUCACCUGGGAUG